This 429-nucleotide ribosomal RNA is filed under the name Acidobacteriota bacterium. RNAcentral describes it as "Acidobacteria bacterium partial 16S ribosomal RNA". It matches the Rfam family "Bacterial small subunit ribosomal RNA", at positions 355 to 776 of the family's 1533-position model. Lineage: Bacteria; Pseudomonadati; Acidobacteriota. The record is from RNAcentral.
UGGGGAAUUUUGGACAAUGGGGGAAACCCUGAUCCAGCCAUCCCGCGUGUGCGAUGAAGGCCUUCGGGUUGUAAAGCACUUUUGGCAGGAAAGAAACGUCAUGGGUUAAUACCCCGUGAAACUGACGGUACCUGCAGAAUAAGCACCGGCUAACUACGUGCCAGCAGCCGCGGUAAUACGUAGGGUGCAAGCGUUAAUCGGAAUUACUGGGCGUAAAGCGUGCGCAGGCGGUUCGGAAAGAAAGAUGUGAAAUCCCAGAGCUCAACUUUGGAACUGCAUUUUUAACUACCGGGCUAGAGUGUGUCAGAGGGAGGUGGAAUUCCGCGUGUAGCAGUGAAAUGCGUAGAUAUGAGGAGGAACACCGAUGGCGAAGGCAGCCUCCUGGGAUAACACUGACGCUCAUGCACGAAAGCGUGGGGAGCAAACAGG